UUUUCAGGUAUUUUCUUUGAUUUUAUGAUCAUUUUCAGAGUUUAAAUUGAAAUAUUUAAAUAAAGAUUUAUUUCAUUCAAACUAUAAAUUAAAGUAUGUGUUUUGUUAUUUUAUCAUUUAUGAAGUCUUACAGGUAAAGUAUUUAGUUAUCUUUUGGGUUUACCUGUAGAUUUGUAGCUAUUUAUAGAUCUGGUUAGAUAGUGGUCAUUCUGGAUUGGUCAGGUGAUUUUAGGAGGGAAUUCUAUUCUUGUUUUUCAUGCCCAAGCGUUCUGAUGGGUGUGUAUGUUCUGAGACAUUUUUAGAAGUUUUGGUUUGAUCAGUACUUGAUAUUCCUAGUUUGAAAUAAGUAUGGACUGAGAUUAUUCCUUUACCAGAACACGUACCAUAUUAUUGAGACAGCUGAGUUUUGUAUAUAUACUGUAGCAGACCUUUGCACCUCAUGGGAGGGUCAUCUAUCUUUACCAUACAUCUAUAAUGGGCAAGAUUGCACCAUCACAAUAAACCCACGUAUUUAACCAGAUGGAAUGUGUUUUGUUGUGUAUUUCCACCCG
Long non-coding RNA from Saccostrea cuccullata (small rock oyster), 551 nucleotides. RefSeq lists it as uncharacterized. The transcript has 3 exons. NCBI's taxonomy places the organism in Eukaryota, Metazoa, Mollusca, Bivalvia, Ostreida, Ostreidae. The record is from RefSeq and is a predicted model, not a curated record.